GGACCUACGGGAGGCAGCAGUGGGGAAUAUUGGGCAAUGGGCGCAAGCCUGACCCAGCAACGCCGCGUGAAGGAAGAAGGCUUUCGGGUUGUAAACUUCUUUUAAGAGGGAAGAGCAGAAGACGGUACCUCUUGAAUAGGCCACGGCUAACUACGUGCCAGCAGCCGCGGUAAUACGUAGGUGGCAAGCGUUGUCCGGAUUUACUGGGUGUAAAGGGCGUGUAGCCGGGCUGACAAGUCAGAUGUGAAAUCCGGGGGCUCAACCCCCGAACUGCAUUUGAAACUGUUGGUCUUGAGUAUCGGAGG
RNAcentral lists this ribosomal RNA (305 nucleotides) under uncultured bacterium. Its description in RNAcentral is "bacterial SSU rRNA". It matches the Rfam family "Bacterial small subunit ribosomal RNA", at positions 333 to 655 of the family's 1533-position model. The record is from RNAcentral.